RNAcentral lists this ribosomal RNA (435 nucleotides) under uncultured bacterium. RNAcentral's name for it is "bacterial SSU rRNA". It matches the Rfam family "Bacterial small subunit ribosomal RNA", at positions 958 to 1392 of the family's 1533-position model. The record is from RNAcentral.
AACGCGAAGAACCUUACCUACUCUUGACAUCCAGAGAAGCCUGCAGAGAUGCAGGUGUGCCUUCGGGAACUCUGAGACAGGUGCUGCAUGGCUGUCGUCAGCUCGUGUUGUGAAAUGUUGGGUUAAGUCCCGCAACGAGCGCAACCCUUAUCCUUGUUUGCCAGCACGUAAUGGUGGGAACUCCAGGGAGACUGCCGGUGAUAAACCGGAGGAAGGUGGGGACGACGUCAAGUCAUCAUGGCCCUUACGAGUAGGGCUACACACGUGCUACAAUGGUGCAUACAGAGGGAAGCAAGAGCGCGAGCUGGAGCGGAUCCCAAAAAGUGCAUCGUAGUCCGGAUUGGAGUCUGCAACUCGACUCCAUGAAGUCGGAAUCGCUAGUAAUCGUGGAUCAGAAUGCCACGGUGAAUACGUUCCCGGGUCUUGUACACACCG